UUUCACCAUGACAAUGGUGAACUAAACCCUUUGCUGUUGGGGAACAAUGUAAUCUUUUGAAACUCUCAUAUAUUCAAAUUCUUAUUUAUAUCAUAUGCUUGUCAUAUACUUGUUUAUCAAUUGUUGGGUUCUCAUCUUUGCUUAAUGCUUUUAUUGUUUAACUCAUUCAUUAAAAAGUUGUUUGUCUUUAUCGAUAUGGGGACAUACGGUAAUGUCAUGAACUGGUGAGAAAUUCCUUGAUUAUGCUAAUACCGCCUAGGGAUAGGGGUAGGACGAUCAAUUGUAUUUUGCUUCUGUUCACAUUGCAUUAUUAGUUACUAG
Molecule: long non-coding RNA, 321 nt
Filed under: Vigna radiata
Lineage: Eukaryota; Viridiplantae; Streptophyta; Magnoliopsida; Fabales; Fabaceae
Description: long non-coding RNA (VRAD_LNC002915)
Source: RNAcentral